Molecule: ribosomal RNA, 253 nt
Filed under: uncultured prokaryote
Description: partial 16S ribosomal RNA
Rfam family: Bacterial small subunit ribosomal RNA
Source: RNAcentral
UACGUAGGGGGCUAGCGUUGUCCGGAUUUAUUGGGCGUAAAGAGCGUGUAGGCGGCCAGGUAGGUCUGCUGUGAAAACUCGAGGCUCAACCUCGAGACGUCGGCGGAAACCAUCUGGCUAGAGUCCGGAAGAGGAGAGUGGAAUUCCUGAUGUAGCGGUGAAAUGCGUAGAUAUCGGGAGGAACACCUGUGGCGAAAGCGGCUCACUGGACCAUAACUGACGCUGAGGCGCGAAAGCUAGGGGAGCAAACAGG